This is a long non-coding RNA of Daphnia magna, 4632 nucleotides long. RefSeq lists it as uncharacterized. The transcript has 2 exons. The record is from RefSeq and is a predicted model, not a curated record. Lineage: Eukaryota; Metazoa; Arthropoda; Branchiopoda; Diplostraca; Daphniidae.
UCAUUUCUUUUCUCUCUCUUUAUUUUCGUGGGGGGGGGUUUCUUUCAUAAAUUCAGACGACUGACUCCGCCCCGGUCGCGUCCGUUGACGAUCCAUCACGAUCCGUCGUUCAAUCCAAUCAACUGGAUUUAUUGUAUUCUCUUGCAAGCUAUUCUCUUCAACUGUUCUCUCUUUUUUUUCUUCUUCUUUAGCACCGUCGUUUUCGACUCGGUGGACUCGAUUAAUCACCCAACAAGGAAGGACAAGAUAGAAAAUAGGCGAGGAAUCUUUUCUUAUUUCAAUGGAGGGCUCCCGUCUCUUUCUCGGUUCGUUUUAUUGUUAAUUUAGCGCGGCCUAUCCGACAAUUGCGUAAGGAUGAAACAGCAAAAAUAAGAAACCCGCAGUGCGUGUGCGCUCACAGAGCGAUCUAGCGGCUCCCCUUUUUUUCAUUUGGAUUUUGGGAUCAGACAGCUGGGCGGGCUGAUGAUUCAUUGUUUCGGAUUUUUAAAUUUAUAGUUUGGUAGUCUUGGAAUUGGAAAGAGAUGCUUUUAUUUUUUGUUUUGUUUAUUUUUUGAUAAGCGGCUGUGUCUAGUUCUCCGAUGGUAUUUUCUUUUUCUAAACUAAUUCACUUCCAGUUAUUUUUCUCUUUUUGGUUCGAUCUGUCGUUUUUCUCAUGUUCGAUGGGCAGUUAUGAUAAUUCCGUUCGACUUUCCAUAAUGAAGUCCUUUUAGGGUAACGCAAUAAUUUAUGUUUUGUCGCUCCGUUCAUUUUUCUUCGUGCUUUUCGAACCGGCAAAGAUGGCGACACGUGACAUCAAGUGAAAUCUAUAGAUUUGAGAAGCAGGUUUUUUUCUCUCCUCUUCGGGAGCAGAUUAAUGACAAGCUUCCCACCGGUUCUAUAAGCAGAUGACCUUUAUUUUUCUGUUUAUAUUGUCCCUUCUUUUUCUGAUGCUAUGACGCACUCGCAAAUUCGUGAGUUUGACCGUGAAAGGACAAACUGUCCUUUUUCGGCCUUGAUCCUGACGGGGACCUACUUAGGCACACAACCCACUGGCGAUGUCCUAUUGGAUUUUACACACACCCAUGAAGCGUGAAGAAAAAAAAAAAACGAAACGAUCCGUGAAAAAACGAACGGGCAGAGUCCUUCGUUUCUCCCUAGGCGCAUCAUCAAUUCACAUUAGGGAUGCAAUACCGCCGACGAGCGAAUACACACACGAGUGUCGAAGAAAGAGACAAGUAUAUGGAGGAAAGAAGAGAUCAACUAGCUCAUCGGGUACCUAUAGGGUUCUUGUUAUAUGGAUAGCUGCCGACACUGAAUGAUCGGCUAGCGUGUAAAAUUUAUUAUACUAAACAGGGAGGAAACAAGGAAAGAGUUGAGGUGGGAAAUACCAUUUUUUUUUAGGAUGACAUUAGUCAGCAUUGUGGUUAUAGUGAAAGGCCCAACAGAUUUUUAUGGGUUUAAAAAAAAGGCCAUUAGUGCACAUCUAGUGGUUUAUUUACACACGACUGUCACGAAAAGCAUUACCGAACUGCCUCUCUUCAAUGUCAAAUUAACCUGUAGCAAAUGUAAGAAUAAUAAAAAGAAAUUCCUGCGAUGAUGGCGGUACUGUUUUUCAUAUUCAAACGAAUAUUUAAAAAUAUAUGCUCCCCCUCUUCAAAUGUACAACAUAAUAAAAGGCGGACGGAAGAAAAAUUGGUUGGGAUGAUGGACUCUUGUCCUCAAACAUUUUUUCUUGGUAUCUAUCCAUCUUGAUUUUUUUUUUGGGGGGGGGGGUUCUACCAGUAUAGUGCAGGUUAUUAUGAUUUGAGAUUGAGGCGGCUUUGUAAUCUAGCGGCAACCGCCAUCAUUUUUUCUUUUUGUAUUAUAAUUGAACAUUAUUGCGCUCGCGGAAGUACUCAAUUCAUAUUUUUCACUAGAAAAAAAAAAUCAGCCGAAGCAAAAAUCAUAAAACGCGUUUGUGGAAAACCGACAGCGGCUGCCGAACUCGUUAAAAAUAAAAAAUUAUGUCGAGUAGCUACUGUCUAAUUUUUUUAUUUAUUUAUUUUUUUUUAUUAUUAAACAAAAUGUUGGUAAAAAUAUGUAUGCGGGCUUGUUUGGGGAGCCCAACCCCGUUGCUACGUGCUGCUGCCACCUAUAUAAAGUGUAUCAAUCAUCAUUUUUCAUCGAAACAGAAAGGGGGGGGGAGUUUUUCUUUUCCUACUGUUUUUUUAAUUUUUUUUUAUUGGGUGGGGUUGAGAACGACCGUGACUUGAAAUUAUCGGGAGAUGAACGGGCAAUAUUCAGGCAGGGAUUUGCAGCUACUUAUUUAUAUUACAAAACGAAAGCUAAUAUUAACGGCGUUUUGUAUUUGUUCUUGAUACGAAAACAAAAGCUUUAAGCGUGCGGUUAAUAGCGCGCAUAUUACAUACAAUAUGUAUUAAGAACAUAGUCUUGUUUAGCUAUAAUUACCUCGGCAUGUUUGUAUCAAGAGCGACCAAGAACUUAAGAGGAUGAAAGCCAUCGACUCUUUAUUUUUUUUUUUUAGAUAUACGGGGAACCUUUUUCUCCCCCCAUUGCCGGUGUUCUAUUAACCAACGACUAUCUAAUCGUAGAUCUGUAUUUUUUUAGAAAAAAUAAAAGCGGCGUUUGACUUUUCCAGGAAAAAGAAAAAUGUAAUCAUAUCGGAGCUGCUGUGUAUAUAGCGUAGAGGGGGGUGGGGUAAGUUUUCUUUUAUUGGAAAAACAUUUUAUUUCCUCCAUUAUUUCGAAUAGUAUUAUCAAAGAAAAAAGGAAAGGAGCGUGACUUUUCUACGGUCAAUAACAAUCCUUCUGUUAUUCGUUUUUUUUUUCGCGAGUUAAAUACGAAGGGGGGAGGGGAAAGAAGUCUGUGAUUGGCUAGAAUAACGAUGGCAUCUCGUCGUUAUUUUUCGUAUUGUACAGAACUCGUUGUUUUUGCUUAUUGUUCCAUUUUCGAUUGCCCGUUGAAUCCAAAUACAAAGCGUCGGAUUUCAUCCAACAGUUCGGCUAAUAAAAAACAAGUGAAAGCAGAGAAGUCGUGAUCGUGACUUAGAAACGUAGACAGAGAAAUAGAAUCGAUUAUUAAAUAGAGUGGAUGACAGUUACCUAAGACUCACAAAUGAAUUCAUGUUGAAUAUGACCGCACGUAUAUGUCACGGCCGUUUUCCCGUCGUUCCAUGUCACGCGGUACAUAUUUCCCAUAGGCCUAUAUCGACAUCGUGAAGCUGCGGGAACGACGGCUUUGCACUGACCGUAAAUAGGUCAUUCUGGGGAUAAAGUCUCCAAUCGAUUUGCUUUUCCGAACCAUCUGAUUCCAGAUGUCUUUUUUUAAACUAUGUCUACAGGAAAGACGACGUCUGCGCCGUAUUCGAUACGUUGGUGAAAGGGUUUGAUUAAAAAUAUAAAAAACAUCUCAGUUUGUAAUUGAACAUUUGAUUCGUUGGAUAAGCAAAAUAGAAAACAUCGUUUUCUUGAAUUUCUCUUUUUCUUUUCCCUCGUCGAUGUCAAUGGAGAGGCCUAUGCAGCACAUCUACAAAAUUUUGCGGAUCAAACGAUAUCGUCUUUCCUCCAAUCUUCCGCUCGCUUUUCAUUAAAUGGAGAGACGCUGAUAAGAGAGCGGCUCGUUAUAGAUCCAAGACGAAUCGAUACGAGCGGAUAUAUGAUUGCCUCUAUUAUCUACACAUGCUGCUGCGUGUCUUAUGCUGAUAUUAUGUUGCUUAUAUUGCUCCCGCCCCACAGCAGCAUGUACGUGCCUGACUAAAUUGUUUCAAGACGUGACAUUGCCAAAAAGUUUGCUUGAUUUGCGACAGUCACAUAAAAGCAAAGUUAUUGAAGAAUUAAUAUAAAUUAAAUUGCGUUGGGGUCUUUGAGCUACGAUGCGCUGUAAGUUGUGCGUCUGAAAGUAACUUUGCCUACGAACAUUUCUUGAUUAAACAUUUUUUUGUUUUGUUGAAAUUUAUUUUUAAGUAUAGUUCUUGUGGCGUACGCAUCAAGGGCGUCGAAUUUUAAUUUGGAAGACCCUCUUGACCGCACUAGUUCGCUUUUUGUGAUGCCUCCUACACCUUUGAUAUUCUCGUUGGAAUCGAUAGUGAUAACUCGAGUGGAUUUUGAUCGACUUGUAUAGUCAGAAUUUUUGGGUGCAAGUUGUUAUUAUUUCAUUUUUUCCUCAUUGUUCAAAAGUUGGCUCUUUUCCAAGGACUAGCUGUGGGAUGAUUAUCAGAGUUUGUGGAAAUUGUAGGGCCUUUUUGUUACAAAAGAAAAUCCUAUCGAAAGUGUAGGAAACCGUCGUCCAAUUGCCAAUGUCCGGUCGAUCCGCCACUAUCAGAGUAGGCGAUAAAAAAACAAACCCCGACACAACUUGUAUCGACGAUAAACCGGCUCUUAAACUCUAGUUCUCGAGAAAUUCUUUCAACUUUCUUUGUUCUAUGCUGACCCGGUUGAUAUCAGCCAAAUUUAUUAAGGAAUGCCCCCAUCAAUUGUUAUCACGUUGUAUUUUUCUUUUUAAAAAAUGUAUAUUUGAUUUGUUUUUUUUUCUGGUUUUCGUGGGAACAAGGCAACGUCGGGGCUUUUUCUUGCAUCCCAUUGUUUGCAAUAUUUGUGAAAUACAGUCGUUUUCAUUUUAAUAAACCAAAUUGCAUAAUUUUACUUGUCUUUUUAG